Molecule: ribosomal RNA, 402 nt
Filed under: uncultured bacterium
Lineage: Bacteria
Description: bacterial SSU rRNA
Rfam family: Bacterial small subunit ribosomal RNA
Source: RNAcentral
UGGGGAAUUUUGGACAAUGGGCGCAAGCCUGAUCCAGCAAUGCCGCGUGAGUGAAGAAGGCCUUCGGGUUGUAAAGCUCUUUUAGUUGAAAAGAAAAAAUCGUGACUAAUAAUCACGAUUCAUGACGGUAUCAACAGAAAAAGCACCGGCUAACUACGUGCCAGCAGCCGCGGUAAUACGUAGGGUGCAAGCGUUAAUCGGAAUUACUGGGCGUAAAGGGUGCGUAGGCGGUUUUGUAAGUCAGAUGUGAAAUCCCCGGGCUUAACCUGGGAAUUGCGUUUGAAACUGCGAGACUAGAGUGCGGCAGAGGGAGGUGGAAUUCCAUGUGUAGCAGUGAAAUGCGUAGAGAUAUGGAAGAACAUCGAUGGCGAAGGCAACCGUCCUGGGCUAGCACUGACGCUC